This 494-nucleotide long non-coding RNA is filed under the name Carica papaya (papaya). RNAcentral describes it as "long non-coding RNA (CPAP_LNC002598)". The record is from RNAcentral. Lineage: Eukaryota; Viridiplantae; Streptophyta; Magnoliopsida; Brassicales; Caricaceae.
AUUUUCUGGAUAUGCUAAACUAACCCUAAGCACAAGAAUAUAGCACGAAAUAGACAGCAAGAAAAAUAUAGGAGAAACAGAAAUCCCAAAAACAUGGGCGAGAAGCAUAUGCAUCAAAUAAAGAAGUAACUGGGUGCUCACUGGAGAAGCAGAGAACGCCGCCAUGGCUUCUGCUUAUUCUGGGGGAAGACGAAAGCAGGUGAGGGGAGGUGGAAAGAAUCCUGAGCGUUUUGGGGGAUGAUGAAGGUAAUUUCUCAGUGAAAGAGAAGAAGGUGGUAUUGCUGAAGAGACAGAGUUUAGACAUGGAGGAAGUUGCCGUCUCUAAAGCCGAUAAACUGCUCAUUCUUAGCCUCUUAUCCGCUACUCCGCUGCUCUGCUUGAACGAGACAGACGAAGAAAAGAAGAAAGAUAGCGGCGAAUGCUGAGGGAGGUUCAGCCUUGAAUUAGUAGUUCCAACCGGCGCCGUUUUAAUUGAGUUUUAAACAACCCCGUUA